UCCCAAAAAUCUUUGAUGAAAUAGUUCUCAAGACUAUAAGUGAUACAUAAAAAUCUUUUUACCGAUACUCAACUGAAUAAAUAUUUGUAUGAUGGCGAGCCUACCAAGCGUUGGCGAGCUUUUUGUGAAAAAAAGAGAAACUUAUGCACGAAUUCGAUGGACAAUACCCCGAUUUACAGCCAGAAAUCACAAAGAAGGGUUCAACAGUGAGGUGUUUACGUUCCAACAAGCCAAGUGGAACCUGCACAUGAAGCAGCAUGGGACAGUGAGAAAUUCGUCAACUUGUGGGAUAUACCUCGAAAGGGGCGACUCCAGGAUUCAAAAGCACACCGCAGGGAUGAGGUGUUCCAUUCUCGAUGAGAGAGGGAAUCGACUAGUCGAGAAAGCAUCCACCGGUGAAUUCAAGGGAGUGCCGAAGAUGUGCGGUUGGCCUGUAUUCGUCGACGAAAGUUGGCUUAGCGACUACUCAGAGCAAAUCCUGCCGAAUGAUAAACUGGUUGUUCUUUUCGAAAUUUGCACGCCGAUUACGUAUACAGAUAAUGAACUUCCAGUCACGCAGCACCAACAUCCAGGUCGCAGAUCGGUCAUCACACAGACGGAUAGUCCACCUGUGGUCGAAGUCAACGAGUGGCCGGCAAAACGACUUCGAAGAAGAAAACUUUAAGAAUGAACAAGAAAAAUAUUUUUAUAGCCAAUGUGGAUCACACCCCGACCGGAUCUGAUUUUACAAAAUGCGUCUACAUUCGAUUUCAAUGUUUC
Molecule: long non-coding RNA, 759 nt
Organism: Uloborus diversus
Lineage: Eukaryota; Metazoa; Arthropoda; Arachnida; Araneae; Uloboridae
Exons: 3
Source: RefSeq, a predicted model, not a curated record